This 478-nucleotide ribosomal RNA is filed under the name uncultured bacterium. Its description in RNAcentral is "partial 16S ribosomal RNA". It matches the Rfam family "Bacterial small subunit ribosomal RNA", at positions 29 to 507 of the family's 1533-position model. The record is from RNAcentral.
AUGAACGCUGGCGGCGUGCUUAACACAUGCAAGUCGAGCGAGAAGUUUUGAAAAGAUUCUUCGGAUGAAAUUUAAAAUGGAAAGCGGCGGACGGGUGAGUAACGCGUAGGCAACCUGCCCCAUACAAAGGGAUAGCAUUUGGAAACGAAUAUUAAUACCUUAUGAAACUUAACUAGUGCAUGCUAGGUAGGUCAAAGAUUUAUCGGUAUGGGAUGGGCCUGCGUCUGAUUAGCUAGUUGGUGAGGUAACGGCUCACCAAGGCGACGAUCAGUAGCCGACCUGAGAGGGUGAACGGCCACAUUGGAACUGAGGCACGGUCCAAACUCCUACGGGAGGCAGCAGUGGGGAAUAUUGCACAAUGGGGGAAACCCUGAUGCAGCAACGCCGCGUGAACGAUGAAGGCCUUUGGGUCGUAAAGUUCUGUUCUAGGUGAUGAAAACUGACAGUAACCUAGGAGAAAGCCCCGGCUAACUCCGUG